CAGUUAAAAAGCUCGUAGUUGGAUUUCUGCGGGGGCGGGGCGGCCGGUUGCUUAUAGCAACUCGAGCUAGCACCUCCCCCGCAUCCUGCCGCGAACCGUGCUACCAUUAGUUUGGUGGCGCUGGGGAUCGGCUCGUUUACUUUGAGAAAAAUAGAGUGUUCAAAGCAGGCCACACGCCUUGAAUAAGUUAGCAUGGAAUAAUGAUAAAGGACUUCGGUUCUAUUUUGUUGGUGUUCGGGACUGAAGUAAUGAUUGAUAGGGACAGUUGGGGCGGUCAGUAUUCCAAAGCGAGAGGUGAAAUUCUUAGACCUUCGGAAGACUAACAGCUGCGAAAGCGUUCCGCAAGGAUGUUCCCUUUGAUCAAGAACGAAAGUUGGGGGAUCGAAGACGAUCAGAUACCGUCGUAGUCUCAACUAUAAAACUAUACCAGCUAGGGAUCCGGCCGACGUUUACUUAUAUCGACUCGGUCGGCACCUUAUGAGAAAAUCCAAGCAUCUGGGU
This 501-nucleotide ribosomal RNA is filed under the name uncultured marine eukaryote. Its description in RNAcentral is "bacterial SSU rRNA". It matches the Rfam family "Eukaryotic small subunit ribosomal RNA", at positions 616 to 1112 of the family's 1831-position model. The record is from RNAcentral.